RNAcentral lists this transfer RNA (72 nucleotides) under Ignavibacteria bacterium. RNAcentral's name for it is "tRNA-His". It matches the Rfam family "tRNA". Rfam says of the family: Transfer RNA (tRNA) molecules are approximately 80 nucleotides in length. RNAcentral also lists the same sequence under 1 other name. Lineage: Bacteria; Pseudomonadati; Ignavibacteriota; Ignavibacteria. The record is from RNAcentral.
GCGAAAGUAGUUCAGUGGUAGAGCGUCAGUUUGUGGCACUGGUUGUCGCGGGUUCGAAUCCCGUCUUUCGCC